AUGGGAGAAAAUUAGUAAAUCUUAGUAUGCCUGUAGGUAAACAGUAUUUUGCUGCCAUGGAGGGCAGCAAAAGUCUUAAUGUGACAUGGAUGUCACAUUUAAGACGUAUACGUCACCCUAUUCAAAGAACUAAAUCAGGCAUACUUAGAUAUACUUAUUUUCGUAC
Molecule: non-coding RNA, 166 nt
Filed under: uncultured Lachnospira sp.
Lineage: Bacteria; Bacillati; Bacillota; Clostridia; Lachnospirales; Lachnospiraceae
Source: RNAcentral